Gigantopelta aegis is the source of this 2294-nucleotide long non-coding RNA. RefSeq lists it as uncharacterized. The record is from RefSeq and is a predicted model, not a curated record. The transcript has 5 exons. Lineage: Eukaryota; Metazoa; Mollusca; Gastropoda; Neomphalida; Peltospiridae.
UACAGUGUGAAAUAAAAACAUUUGUGAUUUAGCGUUUUAAAAUGACGCUUCGUGACACUCGGAGCACUGAGUACGAAUCAUUCACGUCUUCCGUAGCUAUACACUUCGGUCAGUAUGCAUCGGCUUGCAUCAUUAACCAAUCAGAAGUCAGAACGUUUCUUUGCCUUGACACACUAACUCAGUGAUGUGCGAGUACAAGUGAUUACAGUCUCGAAAUCUUCCGUCUUCACGUUAAGCACGAGAACCAAAUUGUGAGCCGUCUUUUCUUUACCAACGAAAUGAGAAGCGUUUAUAGUCUAGCAUUACUGUUCGGGAUAGCAAUUGAGCAAUGAAAUACCAAACUUGUAAUCACCAUCUACCAAUUGAAACUGGCUGAUGGCAAAACAUCGAUAGACUAGAACGAAAAUAUCCUCUCUGUAACACCACUUUAGUGCAGAGCCUACGUCGUGACUGUGGACAUGUUGCAGAUGGCAGAACAGAUGCAGCACAACCACCCGGCGAUGCCAUUCAUUAAGCAAGUAGACGCAUUCAAGGCAACAGAAUGUGGUACAGAAUUAGUUUGUUGUUACCUUUUGACUGUACAGACCAUCAACCAGGUAAAAGGGCAAUUAACGAGUACCGGGACAUAGAUAGAUCCUAAUUAGCACACAUCAACAAGUCCUGCGACGUAGAAUUCAUUUUAGGACCAUAUAUACAAGUUUAUCUACUUCCUGGACCAUAACCGUUUUAUUUAACGACGAACUCUACACAUUUUAAUUACGGUUAUAUGGCGUCAGACAUAUGGUUAAGAACCACACAGAUAUUGAGAGAAGAAACCUGUUGUCGCCACUUCAUGUACUAAUAUUAGUCUUUGUUUAAUGGUAUGGAGAAAUUGUAGGCACUUGUCUUAUUAGCAUGCAGUGGGUCAGGACCCCUGUUACCAUAUUAAAACAUUCUCCAACAAACAACCUGUCACCCCAAACAUUAUCAACAGACAGGGUUUACUACCAUAAAUAAGUUUUUAAAACCUUUGAUUAAGUAAACUGUCCCAACUAAAAUCACAGAACUGACUAAUUACGUAGUCCCAAAUAUCUUUUCAGAGGGAGAAAUACUAUAACCCUAUUUUGUUCUGUUAAUGCACAUUGAAAUAUAUUUAGUUAAGUAGUUUAUUAUAUUAUCAGGACAUUUAUGUUGUUUUACAAGUCAGGUUGAUUAAAGCGAAGCUGUCAUCACUUUCCGUCCAACUGGACAAGAUGAAACAAAAUGGCUGCUCCCAGUUAGCAGGAAUAAUCACGGGUAUUUUUUAUUAAUUCUAAAAUUACGCGUUUUUCAUUUCGCAACAAACUGUUAUGAAAUCGGCUAAUCCACAAUUUUAUUUAUUGAUUGAUUUAUUUUAUUAUGAUUUUUUUUUAACUAGCCAGGACUGCCAGAGACAGAUGAAUUGCAUACAUACAACACACUUGUCGGCAACAUCGUCCUAACACAACGUUACAGAGUGUAUUUAACGUUCCCAUUUUCGUCCUCUAAAGAUUUUCCAAUGAAUAAUGUGUUUUUUGUUCUACUAGUAAAAUUAAAUUAUUUAGUUGUAAUUUUAUAUGGGCUGAUACUUGAAGGUAUAAUCUUCAAUCUGAUUAAAAUUAGCUCCACUAUUAGAGAUGAUUUCAAUCAGAUUGUAUAAUCUUUACAUUUCAAUGCAAAAGUUAAUAGAUAUUUUGGCGGGAAGCAGUCUUUAUACAUCUUUGACAUUGCACCUUUAAGAUGACAAGUAGGUUUUUUUAGCAUCUAUAGAUACUGGUAUAGAUAGGAAAAGAAACGAUGAGGGUCGAAAUAAAUAAUGUUAAAUAGGAUACAUAUAUAUAUAUAUAUAUAUAAUCUUGGUCCAUUUCUUUAGUUUUAAGAACUUUUCACUACGAACAUUCAUGAUUGAUAUGCAAAUUAUAAUAUUAUUUGUUCACAGCGUUCUGGUGUAUGUCAACGAAAUACUGUCUGCCUGCUGAAAGUUAAGGAAUUAUUGUCCGGUGAAUGUGAAGGAAAUACCGUCUGCUGACGUUUCGGAUUGACAGCUUGAUGAAGUUUGAUGACAUUCUUCGACAUAUUGGCGAGUUUGGGCCGUACCAAAGGCGAAUUUGCCUGUUCGUGCUGAUUCCUCUGGUGACACUGGGAAUCGACUCCAUGAGCGUUAUCUUCGCUCUCGCAACACCCGAAUACAGAAGAGUCUUGGCUUCACCGUAUGAGAUGGAGGACUGGGGUUGUGGAAGGCAGUUAUCUGCUUUGGCCAGUUGGUCAGUCCUGUGUGCUGGGAUCCACUGGAGGGU